Molecule: long non-coding RNA, 2143 nt
Organism: Hyalella azteca
Lineage: Eukaryota; Metazoa; Arthropoda; Malacostraca; Amphipoda; Hyalellidae
Exons: 2
Source: RefSeq, a predicted model, not a curated record
UUCUAUUUUUUCUCUAACGGUUCAAAUUUUUUCCCAAACAGUUCGAAUUACUCGACAUGAGGAUCGCAUAAAAAUUAUUAUAACGUUUAUUUUUUUGCCAAUAUUUCAAAAAUUUUAUCUGGUCAUACAUUCGGAACAAUUGGGUUCAUUUAAUAUAUGAACAUAGAUAGCUUUCAACGCAACAAAUCUCAUUCACCGAGUUCAGUGGACAGAAAUUUUUUCUCAGUUUCGGUUCGUACUAUAGUUUUUCCCUCAGUUCAUUACUACGAUAAUAAGUUCCCUGUUACCUGCUUUCUCGAAUAGACGUUAACAUUGUAUGUAUUUUUAUUGAAAAUGAAUCGUCACCGGAGUUGCUUUCAUAAGUUUUGGUUUCAUGGUAUCGCGUUGUCUAAAAAAAAUCUGCUCGUUUCUAGAUUUUGAUUAGAUUUACUCAAAUUGCCCAAGAUAAAAUUCAAAAAUAAUAUUUGAAAUUGAAUGGAGUAUCAGUUAUAUUUUAACCUUUUUCUGCUGAGCUUCAUGAAUUCAAACGUUCAGUGCAUUGGCCACGAUUCGAACGAGAACUCGAAAAGUUCUCGUUAAUAAGGGAAGUAGCUUCUUAUGUUAAGAGUGUUUUGAUUGCAAAUACCCUGAAAAUAUUUGUAUAUAUAUAUGCGUCUUAUUCUGUUAUGAAAUAUGAAAAUAUCUCACGAUUAAAUUUAUCUUGCGAUUAACGUCUCAAAUUGUCAAGGUUUGUUCCUUGAUUGCCUCUUAUAUCCUCGCUUUUUUCGUCAUUCGUCUCGCUUUACUGAAACAUUGUUCACUAUAUUGUCAAUCAGUUAUUUUCCUUAUCUAACAACUUCUAUAUAUUAUAAGUUACAAACGACGGGUUAGAAUUAGCCUCGGCAUCAACGCGUAAUUUUCUGUAAUUUUGAUUGGAUGAAACAAGACCAAAUGAGCCGCUCAAACUGGUACAAAAUCAUUUUCAUUUCCUUUUUGUUUUCCGAUUAGAAUCAACAUUCUGUGGAAUAUUCUCACAGGUCCAUAUUUCAGGAUAAUAUGUUUCGAUGUUCAUUGUCCUCGACCAUUAUUUUCGCUUCAAAAUUUCCUUGUAAGCCCGUAGGUUGCAGCUCCUAGUCGUUUGUGUGACCAGACCACAUUUCCGUAUUCGUUUAGACGUGAAACGCCCCGAGAUUUGGAGCAGCAAGGCUUGGAUUUGCGACUCCCGGCGAGCCGUGAAAAUUUAUUAAUUUUUAUAGCCAAUUUUUACCCAAAUUUGUAUAAGUUCUUCUCAAUAUUUUCACUGCUAAUUAUAAACAAUCUAAAUUCUGCACAAUUUAAAACAUUGCGCGACUAAAAUUUGAACUGUGUUGAAAUUUCCAUUAUUCAACACGCAUAACAUUUAACACAAGACAUAAUGUGGCACUUUUCUGCCAUGGUUCUUGCGAGCCGGAACAAAACUUCUUUGGUCAAAAAUAACUCUGAUUUAACUGCUGCUUCAAAUUACGAUUGGACGGUCAAACUGAACAUUUUUGAGCGUCAAAAAUAAAAGCAAUAGCUCAAAAUAUUUUCUACUCCCUCCAACUUUUUAUUUCGGGUUGUUGAGUUCACUUUACUCUUUGUCAUCGGAUGGUAACUCUCGGAGCAACCCUAGCCUUCAGGAACGAAUUGGAUUUACGAGGUUAAAUUAGCCGUUUACAAAAAGGUUGAAUUUUUGUCUACAAAUCAUUUAUGCCUUUAGAUAUGAAUAGCAUUGACAAGGAGUAUUGUAUUCGUACAAGAAAGAGUAACUCCUUGUCUACUGGUGGUGACUGCAUAGGUACUCUGCCUUUAGGUAUCAGUUGCAUUGACGAUAGUUUCGGUAUUUGUGAUGAUUUAGAGCUGCAUCGUCAUUGUCUGAAUAAUACUCGUUGAAGUCCAAACAGCCAUCGCUGGGGUAUGUAAAAGCUGUAAAUACGAAUUAAUCUGAUAAUAGUUCUUAUUUUUAGGACGCUUCUUGGACUUGUAGCAGAUCUAUGGAUGAAGUUAGACUCGCAAAAAUUAUCUAUAUAUAUUAAGCUUUAAUGGGUUGUAAAUUAAGAAGAAUGUGAAAACUCGUUUAUGUAGAUAUUUUAACCUCUGAAAUGUCUUUGUGUAAUAUUAAAUUGCUUGAGUACGCUACCGCUGG